UGUAUUCCUCUACAUAUAUUCUACAUACAUAUAUACAUAUACAUACAUGUAUAUGCACACACACAGAGUAUACACACUUGGGAAGAGGCUCAAGAAAUUUUAUUUAUAUCUUAAAAAGUGCUCUUCCCUUUUGUCUCUGAGUUCCUUAAAACCAGGUUUAAGGUAAGAGAUUCAGAAAUCCUUUCUAUAUUUCAACCCACCAGUCUCUUGUAUAAUCUAAUUAAAGCUCAGAUUUAUAAAACAAAAUCAAGAAAAUAAACUCACCUCAUCACCUCUUUGAGGGGUUGUUAGUGAUAGAUAUUCCACCAGGGAAAUCUGGUUAGCAACUACAAUCCUGAUUCUAGUGCCAAAUCUGAGCAGGUGAAAUACUCCACACAGAUAGCUGGUAACCACAUGCUUCACCUUAGUGAUGUGCCCAGAUGAAGGCACUAAAGAAGCAGUCUAUGAAAACAUGGCAGAUUGCUGAAAAUAUUUGUAACCUAGUACUGAAAUCUUUUCACCUUUUCCUCAGGAUUUGUUUAAUGAAUACAUUAAAAAUAUAAGGGUAAUUUUUACAUCCCUAUUAUAUGGAUAGUUACUGUUCCUGUUUUACAAGUCAGAGGACUGUGCCAUAAGCUUGCUCAGCACUAGCAGGGCAGGAUUCUGAGUGAGGAAUGAUGAUUUCCCAGGCUGGGCUUGGUUCACUGAACACCAUUGUCCUCUACAAAGCAUUUAUUGUGAAAUGUUUACAAAAGCACUUUUAGGAAAAGAUCAAUGUCUUUUUCUAUGUUGGUUAAAAUGUGGGUGAAUCUGUAUGAGUCCCCUGGCAGAAGGCAGAAGGAAUUAACACUUGCUGUGUUCUUAACCAUGAGCUCUGCAUCAGUGCCAAAUUUGGAAAUAGUAUGAAUGUUCAUGUGUUGGAAGCCGGGUCCUUAUUGUAGUUAAUAGUGGGAAAUGGUUUAAACUAGUGGGAAGAUCAUUAGGGGCACUGCUCUCAGAGUAAAUUAAGGUAGUUUUCACGGUACCCUAGUUGUUUUUGUACAGGAGAGUUGUUAUAAAAGAGCAAGUCUGACUCCUCCCCUCUUAUUUUCUGUCUCACCAUGAAAUUUCUUCCUCUUGCAUGCACUUCCACUAUUAUGAUCUCACAUUCUUUAAGAUCUUCGUCAGAACCAAGCAGAUACUUGGCUAAAAGCAUUAGAAUGCUCUUAGAAUUCCAGAACUGUGUGCUAAGUAAAAAUCUUUUUUAAAAUAUUUAUUUUUUUAGUUUUUAGGUGGACACAAUAUUUUUAUGUGAUGCUGAGGAUUGAACCCAGUGCUUCACACAUGCCAGGCGAGCACACUACCACCACAUCCCCAGCCCCAACAUCUUUUCUUUUAUAGAUUACACAGCCUCAGGUAUUUUGUGGUAACAACAGAAAUUAGAUUGAUACAACCAGGGUUCUUUACAAACAUUCUGUGCCCUUUAUGAAAGAUAAAGUGGUG
This 1461-nucleotide long non-coding RNA is filed under the name Marmota monax (woodchuck). The record is from RNAcentral. Lineage: Eukaryota; Metazoa; Chordata; Mammalia; Rodentia; Sciuridae.